CAAAAGGGGAGUGGGAAAAUC
This 21-nucleotide microRNA is filed under the name Prunus persica (peach). RNAcentral's name for it is "ppe-miR6283". Lineage: Eukaryota; Viridiplantae; Streptophyta; Magnoliopsida; Rosales; Rosaceae. The record is from miRBase by way of RNAcentral.